This 379-nucleotide ribosomal RNA is filed under the name Escherichia coli. RNAcentral's name for it is "partial 23S ribosomal RNA". It matches the Rfam family "Bacterial large subunit ribosomal RNA", at positions 146 to 563 of the family's 2925-position model. Lineage: Bacteria; Pseudomonadati; Pseudomonadota; Gammaproteobacteria; Enterobacterales; Enterobacteriaceae. The record is from RNAcentral.
CACUAUCAUUAACUGAAUCCAUAGGUUAAUGAGGCGAACCGGGGGAACUGAAACAUCUAAGUACCCCGAGGAAAAGAAAUCAACCGAGAUUCCCCCAGUAGCGGCGAGCGAACGGGGAGGAGCCCAGAGCCUGAAUCAGUGUGUGUGUUAGUGGAAGCGUCUGGAAAGGCGCGCGAUACAGGGUGACAGCCCCGUACACAAAAAUGCACAUAUUGUGAGCUCGAUGAGUAGGGCGGGACACGUGGUAUCCUGUCUGAAUAUGGGGGGACCAUCCUCCAAGGCUAAAUACUCCUGACUGACCGAUAGUGAACCAGUACCGUGAGGGAAAGGCGAAAAGAACCCCGGCGAGGGGAGUGAAAAAGAACCUGAAACCGUGUAC